GGGGAGCAGUCCAGAGCGCAGGGGAAACGCACUCUCGGCUGACUUUCCACCCCACACAGCCCGAUGCCUGUUCACCGCCAGUUUGCACCCCCCUGGCAGAGCUCCUGUUCCAGCCGAUGUACCUGGGCUCUGGCAGGACUCUUCUCUUCAAAGGAGCGUCGGAUGGUGCUAUUUUAGCUCCCAUAAACGCGUGAGCUUUCUCCCCCAGGUGCCCACUCUGUGCUCUUAGAUUUGGGUCAUCUGAAUUUGGGACCCUCUCACGGAUGUCUGCAGCACCACCAGCCUCCUAGAAGCUCAAAGGCCCACUUUGUGGCGUCUUGCAGACUGAGCCGAUACCUGCGCAUUCCGGAGGACAGGUCUUGGGGUGUGGCCUGCUACACCGGCUGCGUCCAGCGCCACUUGCAGCAGGCAUUCUGGAAAUGGACGCUCACCCAUGGGUAUGUGGCAAGCCCCGCCAUGGUCUAGGCAACGGUCUCCCUGGAGGCAAGCCCAAGCCCUGGACACUUCUCCAAGCCUCCUGGGUCACUGUCACCUUCCUGGUCCAGAGUUUUCAGUCUGAAGAAAAGAGUUUGGGCACGCAGGGAGGAUGGGAUUGAACGCGGCUUUGUUCCUUGCUCAGUGGGCAUCUGCACAUCCCAAGGGGCCACAUGGGGUUACAAGGAGGGGAGUGGGAUGAGUAUCCAAGGGAAGUGGAUGUGGCUCACCUAAGACAGAACCUUCUGGUAUCUUCAAAAGAGAGUCACCUACAUUGACUGAGCACCUUCCAGGUGUCAGGCAGCAGGCUGGGGCUUGCCCUGCGUGGUCAAGAGCAUGGCCCGGGUGGCCUCAUUUAUCUCCCGGCUCACCACUCCCAGGGCUCACCUUGGACAAGCUAUGCGAUCACUGUGGGUCUGCUUCCUCACUCUUAAGACUACAGCACCCAUUGCACAGGGAGGCUGGGAGACCAAAUUGGUACCUACCAACCACCUACAGCAGUGCCUGGAUAUGGCAGGUGUGCCCCAGGUCGCCUUUCAGAAGAUGGGGCAGGGCAGCUGGAGCAAGGGAACAUCCACAGGAGGCUCCAUCAGGAGAAGCCUCAGGUGGGAGGUCCAAUGCAAUGACCUCAGGUUCCUCCCAGGAAUAACAUUUUGUGGUUCGUUUAACCUCCAGGGUUUUAGUUUCCCAGCAAUCAAAUAGGCAUUGACAUCCCUGGACAAACCCUGCUUUGUUCUGCGUCCAUUCUCAGCCUUGGGAAGAGCAGGGAUUAUGGAGGAUGGCUCUUUCCACCACCGGCACAAACGGAACGCUGGACGGCAGUGGUUCUGGGUCCUGACCCCCUUCCCCAUACAACAACUAGGUGGUUGUCAGCUAGUUUUUGAAAUUCUGAGAGUUGGGGACAAUAAUUUCUACCAGUCCUAUCCACCUUUCAGGUUUAUAGGCCUUGGUGAUCUUUUGGGGAGAUGGAAGUCACCAAGAACCUAAUAAGCCUUUGGGAAGGGGACUGACCAUCAGAAGUGGCACGGCAGCCUCGGCCCAAGGGUGGGCUGUGCUCACAGAGGCUGGGGAGGGGCUGCAGAGGGGCUCCAUGAAAUGGCUCCAGAAGGACAUUUUGGCCCUCCCUAAACCCACUCUCAAGUCCCCAACUCUGAAACCUACUCUACCACCACCAGAAAGAGAAAGACCCCCAACCCAUCCUAUGAGCAACCUUGCUACGGAUGUUAUUUGUAGUGAUCUUGGGACUGAACUAAGCUACAGGAGACCCAUCAAGAGCAAGAAUAGCCCUAACUGUCACCCAGUGCUGCCUCAGACUUCUUCCCAAAGAUAGCCCCAGUUAUUCUGCUGAAAGAAAGUCCAAGACCCCAGUGAGGUCCCCUCCCAUGAAUCCCUGGCUUACAGCCCAGGGCAGCCAUGCCAGCCAGCCUGGAGCAGCUGGUGAAUAGACUGGACUCUGGCUGGUCCUGCCAGGGUGGGGCUGGAGCUAACCCUUGAGUCCAGUGUCACUUGACGGCUCGUGAGAGGGUCUCACCAAUGCUUCCAUCAUUGCCUUUUUCCUGUUUCUACCCCAUGCCCUUCCCUGGACAGCCUCCAUGGUGGAAAAGACCAACACACAAUUCAGAGAAUACUGCAAUGAGGGGUGGAUCCUUAGUUGACUCCCCAUCUGACCAUCCCACUCAAGGUCAAAGAAAUCACACCCAAGACAGAAAAGCAUCCCAGUGCAGAGGGCCCCACUGCCAGCUCCCCAGGCCUGCUGGCCGCUGGCUGGGCUGGUGUGGGCCAUGAGGGUAUCAGCUCUAGAAAUGAGCUUCGGCCUCAUGGCCUAACACAUGAGGAAUGGAAGUGGCAAGCAAGCCAGAAGGACAGUCUAGGAAAUCAGAGGAGGAUCCGUGUAUAUUCCACUACACACGCAUAUGUGCACACACAGACACACACAGGAACACACAGGAACUGUCAUCAGAGUCUGAAAUCAGACUACCCGGGUUUAAAUUCCAACUCUACUUCUUACUAGCUAUGGGAUUUUGAGCUAAUGAGUCAUCUGUUCUGGAUCUCAGCUUCCUCAUCUGUUAGAUAGGUAUAACAACAGCUCCUUAAAGUUAAUAUCUUUGUCCAUUUAGGCUGCUAUAAGAAAAUCCUAUAGAUUGGAUGGCUUAUAAACAAAAGAAAUUUAUCUCCCAGUUCUGGAGGCUGGGAGGGCCAAGAUGAAGGCACCAUCAGGUUCAGGGUCUGGUGAGAACUUUCAAAGAUAGCACUUUCUCUUCACAUCCUCACAUGGUGGAAGAGGUGAAGGACCUCUGAGGGAUCCCUGUGAUAAAGGCACUAAUCUCAUUCCUGAGGGGCCCAUCCUCAUGACCUAAUCAAUUCUCAAAGGCCCUACCUCCUAAUGCCAACACAUUGGAGGUUAGGAUUUCCACAAGUAAAUUUGGGGGAACACAAAUAUUCAGUCCACAGCAGUUAUUAAGAGGAUUUUUAACUAAGAUAACAUACAAAGACUCCACUGUGUCAUGCAUGCUACGUAAUACGCAGUGAAUAAACAUUAGCUAUUAU
This 3021-nucleotide long non-coding RNA is filed under the name Marmota monax (woodchuck). The record is from RNAcentral. Lineage: Eukaryota; Metazoa; Chordata; Mammalia; Rodentia; Sciuridae.